UUGCAAAAAUAUUUAUAUUUAACUCA
This 26-nucleotide microRNA is filed under the name Schmidtea mediterranea. Its description in RNAcentral is "sme-miR-2179-5p". The record is from miRBase by way of RNAcentral. Lineage: Eukaryota; Metazoa; Platyhelminthes; Tricladida; Dugesiidae.